Molecule: ribosomal RNA, 208 nt
Filed under: uncultured bacterium
Lineage: Bacteria
Description: partial 16S ribosomal RNA
Rfam family: Bacterial small subunit ribosomal RNA
Source: RNAcentral
CGCGUAGGCGGCCAUGUAAGUCGCGUGUGAAAGGCCGGGGCUCAACCCCGUGUAUGGCACGCGAUACUGUGUGGCUAGAGACAGGUAGGGGCGAGCGGAAUUCCCGGUGUAGCGGUGGAAUGCGUAGAUAUCGGGAAGAACACCCGUGGCGAAGGCGGCUCGCUGGGCCUGUUCUGACGCUGAAGCGCGAAAGCGUGGGGAGCAAACA